UACAGAGGGGGCAAGCGUUGUUCGGAAUUACUGGGCGUAAAGGGCGCGUAGGCGGCCCGCUAAGUCGAACGUGAAAUCCCCGGGCUCAACCCGGGAACUGCGUCCGAUACUGGCGGGCUUGAAUCCGGGAGAGGGAUGUGGAAUUCCAGGUGUAGAGGUGAAAUUCGUAGAUAUCGGGAGGAACACCAGUGGCGAAGGCGGCGAUCUGGGCAGAUACUGACGCUGAGGUGCGAAAGCGUGGGGAGCAAACAGG
Molecule: ribosomal RNA, 253 nt
Filed under: uncultured bacterium
Lineage: Bacteria
Description: partial 16S ribosomal RNA
Rfam family: Bacterial small subunit ribosomal RNA
Source: RNAcentral